This is a long non-coding RNA of Ictalurus punctatus (channel catfish), 8458 nucleotides long. Lineage: Eukaryota; Metazoa; Chordata; Actinopteri; Siluriformes; Ictaluridae. The record is from Ensembl.
UUCAUGCCUUCAUUUCUUUUAUCUUUUUUCAUCCAUUCUGUCUUUCCUUCAUUCCUUCUUUCUUUUCUUCAUUUCCUCCCUUUUGUCUCUUCCUUGCUUUCCUUCCUUCCUAGAAAUACUUUUGUCCCAGAAGUCCCCAUGCUGUCUGUAUCUCUCCGAGUGGGAAAUGGUGAGAUGAGAAUGUUUAAAGUGUCUGACUGUCUUUCCCCCUUUGGCCAGUCAGAGAUGCUGCGCUGGUUCAGAACUCCUUCGUUCGCAGUUAACUGAAGAGCACGAGCCGUGCAGCCGAGACUGUUCAAACCACGGUCCUCCAUGGCCUUAGUCAUAUUUUGGGCAUUAUCUCGCAGCACAACUUUCACCAAACCUUUCGUUAUGUUCCACUGAACUAACACGCUCUAGCGGCGCUGGUCAUGGGCACCGCUGUUGUUUGUUUGGCAGUGACUGUCUGAUAAUCUUUAUAAAUUUCCUGAUGGUGGAACUUCGUCUGAAGACAUCUGAAAUGAGUUGUAUUGAAGUUUUUUAUUUUCCGGCCUCCUUGCGUUACCUCACGUUGCCAGGUGUCGCAAAUUGCAAUUCUGAUGUCGUCCUUUUUCACCAAUAAACAUAACGUUUAAAAGGAGCGUUUAUCGGCCGAUGCCAGUAUUACAUGCAUAGCACCAGAUGUGUUCACACGAGUCCAUCAUGAGUAGGAGAGACGAGUCUGUGUGUUUGUAUGAGGAAAUGACAAUCAUGUAGAGGAGGCUUUUAUAAAUAAAGUUACAUUUUGUGGGACACCCUGUAUAACGGGCGGUUCGAAACAGUACUAACGGCGGGAGUCGAGUCCUGUACACCUCUGCCGUGUAAGUUCAUCACAGAAACGGUCUGUUGAACUGGAAUUAUUACACUUUGACGAGUUGUGACUUUUCCUGCAUUCUUCUCCAGUCGCCUAGUGCUGAUUUGAAGUCUUGUGCGUUAUCCUUCACCGUGUUUGUUCUCUUUGUGCAUCAGGACUGCACAGUCUUAGCUCUGUCUCUCAGCUCAGCGGCGUGCUAAAUCCAAGACUUAGCACAAACCUGUUUUCAUUUCAAACACAAGCAGAGCAAUUUCAUUAGUUACGCUUUGCAAAUCAGCAAAGCAAAACUAUUUAUUGUGAUCUCCAGAAGCACAACAUUAUGCUCGUGAGUCAUACAAGGAGCUUUUUUUAAAUUUAAAAAUAAAUAAAUAUUUAUAUAUAUUUGUGUGUGCGCUUUAGUUAUUAAACAAUUUGAUUGGACAACGCCGAUGUUAUUCGGAAGCUGUAGCAGCGCUGGAUUUUUGGAAAGGUAGGACUGAAGUGGAAAUGAUCCAUUUUCAACAUCUUUUGAGGUGAAUAUUAAACCCCCAGGCCAUGUAGCAAGAGACAGCGCUACUCCAUCAUUCCAUGAAGCUUCUAUUUCAAGGGAACGGCUACAUGCCUGAAACUCUUAUUUAUGAUGCAAAUGCUUGCUUGAGUAUCCUAUUACUCUAAAUCUACUUUGUUCACAAUUUCAGGAGUUAGUUUGUUGUACAGACAGCAGCAUGGUUUUUUUUUUUUUCAUUUUUAAUACAGUAUGUUUGUGUGGAGUUUGCAUACACGUCGGUGUAAUCCGCUUCCUGCGGUAGCAUGGAUCCGCUGCAGUUUAUACAGGGAAACUGUAAGGACUACGGAUAAGUGGAGGAACUACAGUGGGGGGGGAUAAGUAUUGAACGCGUCAACAUUUUUUUUUCAGUGAAUAUAUUUCCAACGAGGCUUUUCACGUGAAAUUUUCACUAGAUAUCAGUAUUCACUCAAGAAAUCCAGAAAUAUAAAGAAUUCACAACGUUAAAGUCCAUAAAUGAAGUCAUGUGGAAUGACACAGGAAAAAAGUAUCGAACGCGCUACGAAAAACAGUUCUCCAAGGCAAGGAACCAGCUGAAAUCCGUACGUAAUUAUACCCCCUAUGUGUGCAAAUUAAUAUCAGCCGGGUUAGUAAAUUGGUCUAUAAAAAGCUUUUCGUUACCAAGGUGUCACACAGGAACCAUGUCAUGAUGGAUAAAACUAAAGAGCUCUUCUAAGACCUUCGCUUCAUUGUGAAAUCUAUUGAUGGAAUCAGAUACAGAGGUAUUUCAAAACUUCUGAAUCCUCACGUAAGCACCAUCGGGGCUUUCUUCAUACAGGAAGCGUCUUGAAGCAGUCAUUACAAACGAAGGCUUCACUACGUAUUCAGUAAAUUUCAGUUAGCGUGGUCAAUACUUUUUUUCCUGUGCCAUUCCACUUCAUUACACACAGCUUCAUUUAUGGACUUUUAAUGUCGUGAAUCUUUCUAUUUCUGGAUGUCUUGAGUUAAUACUGAUGUCUGGUGAGAAUUUCAUCUGAAUGGCCUCAUUGGAAAUAUAUUUACUGAAAAAAAAAUGUUGACACGUUCAAUACUUAUUUCCCUCAUAUAUACAUAACCAGUUUUUAUCCUAACAUGGAGUACUGCGAUGUAGAAAGUUCUAUAAGAAAUCCCAAAAUAUUUGAUGCGCUUUUGAUAAAUCGCAACGUUCACAUUAUUUAGCAAAAGCAAUAAUUUUAUGCAUUAUGCAAAAAAAAAAAAAAAACCAAACCUAUGCAAGGUGUCCCAGGCGUUAAUAUGUAAAGCGUGUUGCAGCCCCAGUAUGUAGCAAUGCAAUUUAGAUGUAGUUUUUUUUUUUUUUGUUGUCCAUGUUAUGCAUCUCUAAUAGUUAGCGGAUGAAUAUAUGCUUGUUAGAGUUUGAAAUGUUCAGGGUUAGAUGACCUAGUGUAAAAAAUAUCACCGGUUUAAAAAUGUGUAAUUUGCCGGUGGCACGAAUGAAAGGAACGUAUUGAAACGAAUUCCUAGUAAAAAAAAGUGUCUCUGCACAUUCUUGUAUGUAUAAAAAAACAAAAAAACCCCAAAGGGAAUCAAAAACGAUCCCGUAAUUGUUGUUGUUUUUGAGAGAGUCUUUUCCAUGAAGUCUUUUAUCGUCAGUAUUAUCGUUGUGCUGUUAAGCUAAGCAGAAGUUCUGCAGGAGCUACUGUAUGUUUUUUGGACUUUUGCGUGUGAAAAUCCCAGAAGAUGAGUCGUUUCUGAAAUACUCAGACCUGGAUCGAGACGUUUUUUUAUUUUUCGGGCGUGAUUUUAGUUUCUUCCCGCAUUUGAUUAUAGCGAGGCAUUCAGUUCGGUUACAUUUUAUUUGUGUAGCACUUAUAACGAAGCAGCGCUACAGAAAUAAAUACCUUCCAGAUGUGGAUUUUAAAUGCAUGAAUCUAUCCCCAAUGAGCAAGCCAGAGGCGACGGUGGCGAGGAGGAACUCCUUGAGGCGAUGUGAGGACGAAACCCUGAGAGGAACCGGACUCAAAAGUGAACCCGUCCUCAUCUGGGGGAUUCCGGAGAGUAAUUGCGUAACCAGGAAAUUCAUUAUAGUUUUCACAUGAGGUCUAUUUCCUCGAACUUAUCCACUGUUCACUGAUGGAGACUUUAGUGCAAAAGUAUUUGUGGCAGUUGCAGUCCUAAGGCUGUCAUCGCAGCCAAGCCAUCGUAGCAACUGUUCAUAUGAAUUGUGGUCAAAGCUAUCUUCAUGUAUUUUCUUUUUCUUUUUCUUUUUGUUGUGUUACCAUCCUCAAUAAUCUCAGUGAUCUUCAGGCUGUCCAUGUGGGGCCUUGAUUUCCUAUUGAUGAGAAGAGUAAAUUAACUAGGUCUCAAAGUGAAUACAUGAUCUAUAUGUUCUUUUAUGCCUACUAUAUGGAAAUAAUUAAAGUUUCUAAAAGAGAAGUCAUUCAGUUCCUACCCGCUCUCAGAUAAGGAAAGUCCGUUGUUGGUUCUACGUGGGAUUUCGCAUUUUACACUGGAUUCUACAGCCACUCAAGACUUGGUUUGUAAACCGUCGUUUUUGUGUAGCGUUAUAUAUAGAUCGACAUGGCACACUUAUCAAAAGGCUCAGAAGCCCUAACACUUACUCUUAUCUGUGAAAAUGCAAAUUGGAAACGUUCCGACCCUACAGGUUACACGUUCUUGUAACUCAUUUGCCGUCCAGUAGAACGUACGAUACAAAUACAAAGAUUUUUAGUUUGUGCGUUUGUUAGAGCGAUGUGGCAAAACCUCGUAUCACCGUGCAGCUUUCUGGUUUCCCACUGACGCUAAGCAGCGCUGUGCCUGACCGGUACCUGGAUUGGAGACCUGGAGAAAGCUAACCUUGCUGCUGGAAGUGGUAUUAGUGAGGCCAGCAGGGGGCGCUCACCCUGUGGUCUGUAUGGGGUUUAAUGCCCCAGUAUAGUGAUGCAGCACUGUCUUUCAGAUGAGAACGGAGGUCUUGACUCUUUGUGGUCAUUAAAAAUCCCAGGACACUUAUCGUCAAAGAAGGAGUAGGGGUAUAACUCCGGUGUCCUGCUGAAAUUCCCCAUCGGCCCUUCUCCAUCACGGCCCCCUUAUAAUCACCAUCCCUGAAUUGGCUACAUCGCUCUCUCCUCUCCACUAAUAGCUGGUGUGUGUUGGUUGGAUGCGACACGCUGGUGCUCAUCAAGGAGAUUUCCACAUACGACGUAAAGCGCUUUGAGUGUCUAGAAAAGCGGUGUAUAAAUCUAAGGACUUAUUAUUACUGUUUGUUUUUGAAUGCAUUCAUUUUCCCAAAAGGAUUUAAUCAUAACUGUGUCUUCUAAAGUUUGCCUUUGAGCUUGAAAAUCAGCGGCACAGCACAAUCAUUCCUGAAUAUUUUUGGUGUUAAAAUGAACCACUAAAGUAAUGAACUUGAUCUAUUUAAACUUCGAAUUGGAAAUCAACCAAAGGUUAAUAUUCUCCGUUUAAAUAUCACAGAUUCUGGCAAAGUGUGUGUGUGUGUGUGUAAGAGAGAGAGGAAUAUAAGCGUUUAAACUCCAUGGCCAAGAAUAGGCUCAUUUCUCACAGGCGAUUGCUGGCGAGGAAAUACAGCCCAAAUUGAAUUAGUUUACAUGAGGGGAUGAAAAUUGAAAUAUGGAUCGGAGUUGCAAAUGCCUGUCUGCGCGCUCAUAUAUGGGAUGAAAUAUAUUAUUGCUCUCUCAUAUUGCGUGUGCUUAUGUGUGUGUUUUUUUUUUUUGAAGCGGCGUGUUUAAAGAGCCCUUGGCUGCUGGUUUUGUUAGUCGUGUAGGUCUAAUAAAUGGUAUUGAUAUUUAAAAAGUUUGUGUUUUGAGGAAAUACCGGAGCAGCACGUUCGCCUCACACCUCCAGGGUCGGGGGUUCGAGUAGCACCGUGGCUCUGUGUGUGCGGAGUUAGCAUGUUCUCCCUGUGCUGCGGGGGUUUCCUCCGGGUACUCCGGUUUCCUCCACCAGUCCAAAGACAUGCAUGGUAGGUUGAUUGGCAUGUCUAAAGUGUCCGUAGUGUACGAAUGGGUGUGUGAGUGUGUAUGUGAUUGUGCCCUGUGAUAGAUUGGCACCCUGUCCAGGGUGUACCCCGCCUUGUGCCCGAUGCUCCCUGGGAGAGGCUCCAGGUUUCCCAUGACACUGAAGGAUAAGCGGUAUAGAAGAUGGAUGGAACACUGGAGGGUUUUACUGUCUUUGAUGGGUUUAUAUUAUACACGAAGAGGCAGAUUUGCCUAUGGGGAAUCUUCCGUAGAAAGCUCGGUCGCUCUAUCAGACAUGCGUGCCGCGGUCACCUUCUAUAUACAUGAAUCCACAUCCUGCACGUUAGAGCUCUUUCCCAGUGACGCAUUCGAUUAUACACUGGGAUAUACUUGCAUAUGUACUACAUCAGCAUGUGUACUAUUCUAGAUUGUUUUCGAUCUUGAGUGCUAACACUAACUGGUUUUCCUGUGAGAGUCAGUGUUUGAAGGAACAGGUUUUCAACAGAGCUUGUCAGUGUGUUGAACAUCGCCGUGCAUGACGAACAGGGAUAUUUCGGCUCUCGUGCUGUCUAAUGGCCGUCUCUUUUAAUCCCACUGAAGUACGCAGGCGAGUGUGUUAACAAUGCCACUCGCGCUGCCACUGCUUCUGCACACCCACACUAAGACAUUCGUUAAGUAUUAUUCAAAAUAUAUAGAACAUGAUCAAAUAAUGGUUUAAACCAUGACCUCAGGACAAAAGUAUUUUGUGCGUGAGAAAGUCCGUUUGGAAAACUGACGUCUGGUCCACGAUGCUUGUCUGUUUUUGUUUUGUUUUUGACUCCCAUUUUAACGUGGACACUUUGGGACACCGUAGGUCCUGGGGUUCUGCUUUGUACACAUGCGUGGCAGUAAAUCGAAUAUCGAUCGCUAUUACAAUUUCGACUGUCCACGAUUACAUGAACACGAAGCUUUCGGAUACGAGUGCAUUAGAGCCAAGGCGCUCUGCACUUAAACCCCCUCUCUCCUUCCGGACGCUUUAACGCAGACGUGUAAACCAGACUUUACACAUCAUCAUAUAACAAACUGCACGUACGACAGAUCUGUUGGAUUUUCCGUUUCAAACACACAUUUGUUCAUCGUCUUCAUCUUCCCUUUUAUUUACAUCACUUCCUUUUGAAGUCUGCUGGUGAUUUGCUCGUAAUUGACAUCGUCCUGUCUCCUACUGCGCUGCUCAUUUAUCGCACAAUCCUGUCUUCAGCACAAAUGUUCAGUUUCUGAAUCGCUUCUGUUUUCCAGACAUUUCUCCUGUUCUGUAGUUUAUGUGCUCAGAAAGUGUCAGCAUGUCCCAGUCAUUAAGAUGUCCUCCUUAUUUCCGGUGAUGUCCUGCCAUCUGUUCCUUCCUAUAAAUGCAGUGUAUAUAUAAUUCAAUUCGAUUUGAUUUGUGUAGCGCUUUUAACAAUGGGCAUGGUCUCAAAGCAGCUUUACAGAAACAUAUAAAGACAGGAUACAGAUUUUAAGUGUGUGAAUUUAUCCCUAAUGAGCAAGUCGGUGGUGAGGAAGAACUCCCUAAGGUGAUAUGAGGAAGAAACCUCGAGAGGAACCAGACUCGGAAGGGAACCCGUCCUCGUCUGGGUGACGCCGGAUAGUGUGAAAGUGAAAGGAAGUUCAUUAUGGAUUUAACGUGAAGUCUGUUUGUUGAACUAGUCCACUGUUCACUAAAGGAGACCACAGUGAGAAUGUCCAUGUGGAAUUGAGGUCCAAAACCACUUCCAUGGUUCUUCAAGCGGUAGCAUCCUCAGCAAUCUCCAGGACGUAGCCUCCAGUUGAUGAGGGCUCCAUACAGAUGCAGGGCGUCAGGAUUGAUCAGGCAGGUCCACAGAGAGAGGUCAAGAGAGGGAGAGAUUAUUAGGUGUGCUUACUAAUCUACGUAUACGGUGUAUAAUUAAACGUGUAGACAUGCGCAUACACUCAGUUUGUGCUUCACUUUGACCUGUCAGGCGUGAUCUCUUCAUUAGUAUUCAUGCAAAUGGAGGACUGCUGCAGAUAUGACGGAUGGUAUUUGGAGAGAGAGGAAUGGAGAGAGCGACUGGGAAAACGAAAGGCCAAGAGAUCGUGAGGAGAUAUGGAGAAGUGGCAUUUCUACACCUUCAACAAUUUUGUGUGUGUGAGAUUUUGCUGGAUAUGCAGAAUGGGUGGCAUUUGAGAUUUAGCCUAACCCCUGUGCUCUGUGUGUAUGUGUAUGUAUGUAUAUAUGUGUGUGUAUAUAUGUGUGUGUGUGUGUGUGUAUGUAUAUAUGUGUGUGUGUGUAUGUAUAUAUGUGUGUGUGUGUGUGUGUGUGUGUGUGUAUCUGUGUGUGUAUGUAUGUAUACAUGUGUGUGUAUCUGUGUGUGUGUGUAUGUAUGUGUGUGUAUCUGUGUGUAUGUAUGUAUGUAUGUGUGUGUGUGUGUGUGUGUGUAUGUAUGUGUAUUUAUCUAUGUAGGUGUGUGUGUGUGUGUGUAUGUAUGCAGGUGUAUAUGUGUGUGUGUGUGUGUGUGUGUAUGUAUCUAUGUAGGUGUGUGUGUGUAUCUAUGUAUGUGUGUGUAUGUAUGUGUGUGUAUGUAUGUGUAUGUAUCUAUGUAGGUGUGUAUGUAUGUGUGUGUAUCUGUGUGUAUGUAUGUAUCUAUGUAUGUGUAUGUAUGUGUAUGUAUCUAUGUAGGUGUGUGUGUGUGUGUGUGUAUGCAGGUGUAUAUGUAUCUAUGUGAGUGUGUGUGUAUGUAUGUGUGUGUGUGUGUGUAUAUGUCUGUGUGUUGAAGGAUGGUGAAGAGUUGUGUGUGUGUGUGUGUGUGUGUGUGUGUAUGUGCUUUGCCGUGGUUGGCCUCAGCCAUUAAGAGCACGUAGAGAAACUGUAGAGUCGUUGGCAGAGUCACAUGCUUAAGGUAAAAGUAAUAGUAGGAAAAGAGCAGGUGUGUGAGAGAGCGAGAGCGAGACACCGUUGCCUGAUUGAAAUCAAUACUUCAUAUGGUUGUGAAAUUGCCUUUUUGUUUUUGAGGAAUGAGCGAGCGAAAGAGAGAGAGGGUACGUCUUGCAUCGUUCUUUUCAACUAACGUCAUGACUAUACAAAAGGUCCCGGCUGUUUAAGAGCUCGGUGCUCACUGAUCUUUAAAUCCUUGCUUGCUGUGUAUUAUUUUGGAGAUCGACCCUUUUAUUUUU